UGGCUGAGCGGUAAAGCGCUUGGCUAUCGAACCGGAGGUCCCAGGUUCAAAUCCUGG
Non-coding RNA from Biomphalaria glabrata, 57 nucleotides. Lineage: Eukaryota; Metazoa; Mollusca; Gastropoda; Planorbidae. The record is from Rfam.